GAUGAAGAACGUAGCGAAAUGCGAUAAGUAGUGUGAAUUGCAGAAUUCAGUGAAUCAUCGAAUCUUUGAACGCACAUUGCGCCCCUCGGUAUUCCGUGGGGCAUGCCUGUUCGAGCGUCAUUUAACCCCUCAAGCCUAGCUUGGUAUUGGGUGCUUGUCCCGCCUCUCGCGCGGCGACUCACCUCAAAGUCAUUGGCAGCCCGCAUCUCGCCGGCCGUGAGCGCAGCACAGACGCGCUCUUGGCAACGACGGAUCGGCUCUCCAAAAGCUUAUUUCAACCACUGACCUCGGAUCAGGUAGGGAUACCCGCUGAACUUAAGCAUAUCAUAAGCGGAGGA
RNAcentral lists this unclassified non-coding RNA (338 nucleotides) under soil metagenome. RNAcentral describes it as "partial contains 5.8S ribosomal RNA, internal transcribed spacer 2, and large subunit ribosomal RNA". The stretch from base 1 to 120 matches the Rfam family "5.8S ribosomal RNA", at positions 35 to 154 of the family's 154-position model. The record is from RNAcentral.